GACGAACGCUGGCGGCGUGCUUAACACAUGCAAGUCGAACGGAAAGGCCCUGCUUUUGUGGGGUGCUCGAGUGGCGAACGGGUGAGUAACACGUGAGUAACCUGCCCUUGACUUUGGGAUAACUUCAGGAAACUGGGGCUAAUACCGGAUAGGAGCUCCUGCUGCAUGGGGGGGGUUGGAAAGUUUCGGCGGUUGGGGAUGGACUCGCGGCUUAUCAGCUUGUUGGUGGGGUAGUGGCUUACGAAGGCUUUGACGGGUAGCCGGCCUGGGAGGGUGGACGGCCACAUGGGGACUGCGAGACGGCGCAGACUCCUACGGGAGGCAGCAGUGGGGAAUAUUGCACAAUGGGCGGAAGCCUGAUGCAGCAACGCCGCGUGCGGGAUGACGGCCUUCGGGUUGUAAACCGCUUUCGCCUGUGACGAAGCGUGAGUGACGGUAAUGGGUAAAGAAGCACCGGCUAACUACGUG
This 468-nucleotide ribosomal RNA is filed under the name uncultured bacterium. Its description in RNAcentral is "partial 16S ribosomal RNA". It matches the Rfam family "Bacterial small subunit ribosomal RNA", at positions 28 to 507 of the family's 1533-position model. The record is from RNAcentral.